UUCACCGAUACGGAAGCCUCGUAAAAGCACCCAAUCUGCUCUUUACGGGCAGGUAACACUCGUCUGUUGCUGGAAGUAAACCUCCUCUGGAGUUAAUCAGCUGCUAUACGCUCUUCUUUACGUAUAGCCCACAGAUCAAACAUGAGUGGCCCUACUCCGCCGCCUCUCUUCUACUAGAGACUCGAUGGUUUUAGGGUUAAGAUAUGACCGUAGCGGCUCUGCGAAGAGCUCGGAAGCCUAGUUCCGUAGGUGAACCUGCGGAAGGAUCAUU
This 271-nucleotide ribosomal RNA is filed under the name Lecanora cinereofusca. Its description in RNAcentral is "partial 18S ribosomal RNA". The record is from RNAcentral. Lineage: Eukaryota; Fungi; Ascomycota; Lecanoromycetes; Lecanorales; Lecanoraceae.